Molecule: ribosomal RNA, 434 nt
Filed under: uncultured bacterium
Lineage: Bacteria
Description: partial 16S ribosomal RNA
Rfam family: Bacterial small subunit ribosomal RNA
Source: RNAcentral
AGCGAACGCUGGCGGCAGGCCUAACACAUGCAAGUCGAACGAACCUUUCGUGGUUAGUGGCGGACUGGUGAGUAACACGUGGGAACGUUCCUUUAGGUUCGGAAUAACUCAGGGAAACGUGUACUAAUCCCAAAUGUGCCCUUCUGGGGAAAGAUUAAUCGCCUUUAGAGCGGCCCGCGUCUGAUUAGCCAUUUGGUUGAGGUAAUGGCUCACCAAGGCGCCGAUCAGUAAAUGGUCUGAGAGGCUGAUCAGCCACAUUGGGACUGAGACACGGCCCAAACUCCUCCGCGAGGCAGCAGUGGGGGAUGUUGCGAAAUGGGCGAAAGGAUGAAGGAGCCAUGAUGGGUGAAUGAUGAAGGUCUUAGGAAUGUAAUAUUCUUUCACCGGGCACGAUAAUGACGGUACCUAGAGAAGAAGCCCCGGCUAACUACGUG